RNAcentral lists this ribosomal RNA (468 nucleotides) under uncultured bacterium. Its description in RNAcentral is "partial 16S ribosomal RNA". It matches the Rfam family "Bacterial small subunit ribosomal RNA", at positions 28 to 507 of the family's 1533-position model. The record is from RNAcentral.
GACGAACGCUGGCGGCGUGCUUAACACAUGCAAGUCGAACGGAAAGGCCCUGCUUUUGUGGGGUGCUCGAGUGGCGAACGGGUGAGUAACACGUGAGUAACCUGCCCUUGACUUUGGGAUAACUUCAGGAAACUAGGGCUAAUAACAGAUAGGAGCUCCUGCAGCAUGGUGGGGGUUGGAAAGUUUCGGCGGUUGGGGAUGGACUCGCGGCUUAUCAGCUUGUUGGUGGGGUAGUGGCUUACCAAGGCUUUGACGGGUAGACGGCCUGAGAGGGUGACCGGCCACAUUGGGACUGAGAUACGGCCCAGACUCCUACGGGAGGCAGCAGUGGGGAAUAUUGCACAAUGGGCGGAAGCCUGAUGCAGCAACGCCGCGUGCGGGAUGACGGUCUUCGGGUUGUAAACCGCUUUCGCCUGUGACGAAGCGUGAGUGACGGUAAUGGGUAAAGAAGCACCGGCUAACUACGUG